GUUUUCUUGUACUUCCUAGGGGGCCCUGCAUGUGACUGUUGGGGUUGUGUGCAAGGAGGAGGCUCUGAGAGCCUGAACCUCAGAGAAAACUCUGAGGUCUAGGGAACCUUCAGCCCUGGAUGCAAGGCCUCAUUGCUGUCGCUGUGUUCUUGGUCCUUGUUGCAAUCGCCUUCGCCGUCAACCACUUCUGGUGCCAGGAAGAGCAGGAACCUGGGAGCACGAUGAUGAUCACUGGAAACAAGGCCGAUGGGGUUCUGGUGGGCAUGGAUGGCAGAUACUCUUCAAUGGCAUCUGGUUUUAGGUCCAGUGAGCACAAGAAUGCCUUCGAGAAUGUUCUGGAGGAAGAGGGCAGGGUCCGCAGCACACCCAUGUGACCAGCUCCUCUAUGGCCCUAGUCCCCAGGCUACAGGGAAUGUGGAGUUGAUGCCUACCAUCUCACCCAGCCACUGUUCUACAGGAAUCUAUUGAAACAAGCUGACCUCUCACCUCUCUUGAAUCACAGCCAUCUCAGGCUAGGACUCAGACCAAGCUGAGCACAGCUUAUGCUGUGGCCCGGGGGUUCCCUGGGGUCUUCCAGCCAGUUCUGAGGAGCUUUGUAAAGAGACGCCUGGCUCAGCUCCUCCCCUCCCUGCUCCUCCUGCAACUAUGGAAGUGGCUCUUAUUUCUGUGAAAUAAAGACUUUUUAUACUUCUGG
Molecule: long non-coding RNA, 694 nt
Filed under: Rattus norvegicus (Norway rat)
Lineage: Eukaryota; Metazoa; Chordata; Mammalia; Rodentia; Muridae
Description: long non-coding RNA NONRATT022509
Source: RNAcentral